Molecule: ribosomal RNA, 229 nt
Filed under: uncultured bacterium
Lineage: Bacteria
Description: partial 16S ribosomal RNA
Rfam family: Bacterial small subunit ribosomal RNA
Source: RNAcentral
UAACACGUGGGUAACCUGCCCUGAUGAUCGGGACAACCCGAGGAAACUCGGGCUAAUACCGAAUGUGCCCUCCGGCCAUAAGGCCACUGGGGAAAGGAAGCUUCGGCCUCCGCAUUGGGAUGGGCCCGCGGCCCAUUAGCUUGUUGGUGAGGUAACGGCUCACCAAGGCGAUGGUGGGUAGCUGGUCUGAGAGGACGAUCAGCCACACUGGGACUGAGACACGGCCCAG